RNAcentral lists this transfer RNA (63 nucleotides) under Diprion sp. RNAcentral's name for it is "tRNA-Trp". RNAcentral also lists the same sequence under 1 other name. Lineage: Eukaryota; Metazoa; Arthropoda; Insecta; Hymenoptera; Diprionidae. The record is from RNAcentral.
AAAACUUUAAGUUAAAUAAACUAAUUACUUUCAAAGUUUUAAAUAAGAUUUUCUUAAGUUUUA